RNAcentral lists this transfer RNA (74 nucleotides) under Anaerolineae bacterium. RNAcentral describes it as "tRNA-Asp". It matches the Rfam family "tRNA". From Rfam's summary of the family: Transfer RNA (tRNA) molecules are approximately 80 nucleotides in length. Their secondary structure includes four short double-helical elements and three loops (D, anti-codon, and T loops). The record is from RNAcentral. Lineage: Bacteria; Bacillati; Chloroflexota; Anaerolineae.
GGAGCCGUCGUCCAGCCCGGUUAGGACACCGGCCUGUCAAGCCGGAGGUCGCGGGUUCAAAUCCCGUCGCUCCC